RNAcentral lists this ribosomal RNA (408 nucleotides) under uncultured bacterium. RNAcentral's name for it is "partial 16S ribosomal RNA". It matches the Rfam family "Bacterial small subunit ribosomal RNA", at positions 28 to 526 of the family's 1533-position model. The record is from RNAcentral.
GACGAACGCUGGCGGCGUGCUUAACACAUGCAAGUCGAACGAAGUGGAGAACGGGUGAGUAAUAUGUGGGUAACUUGCCUUCCUUUUUGGGAUAAGUCUUGGAAACGGGGUCUAAUACUGAAUAAAGGGGGAUGGGCUCGCGGCCUAUUCGCUAGUUGGUGGGGUGAUGGCCUACCAAGGCGGUGACGGGUAGCAGGGCUGAGAGGCUGACCGUCCACAUUGGGACUGAGAUACGGCCCAGACUCCUACGGGAGGCAGCAGUAGGGAAUAUUGCACAAUGGGCGCAAGCCUGAUGGAGCAAUGCCGCGUGUAUGAAGAAGGCCUUCGGAUUGUAAAGUACUUUCAUUGGGGAAACGUUACCCGCACAAGAAGCCCCGGCUAACUCCGUGCCAGCCGCCGCGGUAUUAC